This is a long non-coding RNA of Meriones unguiculatus (Mongolian gerbil), 7532 nucleotides long. RefSeq lists it as uncharacterized. The record is from RefSeq and is a predicted model, not a curated record. NCBI's taxonomy places the organism in Eukaryota, Metazoa, Chordata, Mammalia, Rodentia, Muridae. The transcript has 2 exons.
GAUCUAGAGGCAUACUACAGACAUCCAGCCACCUGGGGCACCUGGCGCCUUGGCUGCUCCUCUCAGAGCUCACCUCAGCUCUAUCUCCUCUCCUUCCUCCCCCACCUGCCACCCGGGGUGCAGUGCAGGGGAAACCAGCACUUAUCAAGACAAAGAACAAAAGUCGUGGGGGCAAGAAGCCAAGAGCCAUCUCUCUACUCUGGGGUAGGGCCUUCAGCUUCGCCCCUUUGAAAUUUCAAAUUCCAGUUUGUGGACAAAGUCCUAACUAUCUCACAAUAUAGGUCCCCAACUGCUGACCAAACUCCAGUCCAGGCGGCCACCUAGCCUGAGACUGGCCUGGCUUGGCCGUUUCUUUUAGCAGCUCCCAAGACCUGAGGGUAGGUUUCCUGGGCAGCAGGGACCUGCCAGACCAUCCUCUACUACUACCAGCUCACUACCCAGGGACCCCUGCUCCUGUCUGAGAGGACAGCUCUGCCUGAAGCUGGAAUCUGAUGCUUGUUGAUGCCAACAACCGAAACCAGGGACCCAACUGGUGCUUGAAAUAAACGUCCUGGCUGAAUAAAUGAGUUAAGAAUUGAAGGAAUUUACCCAUCUAAGCAUCCAGCAAGGAAGGCAGUGGGCAAGAGCCUUCCCAUGCAGGAUUGCAGCUAGGGAUGAAAACGAAAACAUCCAGUGGAACUGUAACUUCAGGUGAACAGCAUGUGUUUGUAUGGUAAGUGUAUCUCCAACAAUGCUAAGACACACUCACACUCAAAAAAUGGAGGCGUAAUAGGGCUCAGCAGGAAAAGGUAUCAGUCCCCUGGGUCCCCUUAGGAACCCGCCCCAGAAAAUUAUCUCUCACCUCCACAGGACCAGAGGCCUAUGGCCACCUAUUCAUGCUGGAACUCACAAUAAAUAAAAAUAAAAAUACAAUAAAAGGUUUAAGGAAGGGUGUGGCUCGUCACAAAUCGGUUAUGUUUAUAACUGAGAAUCCUGGGCUCUGUCCAGCAACCUCACUCUCAGCCUGGCAUAGCAGGCAGUGGGGGUGGGGGAAUAAAUUAAAAAGGGAAGUGAAUUUUAAAAAUAGUGAGAACAAGGAAGUCGAGAGAGAUGACAGCGCCUGGUUGUCAGGUGACCCUCUCCUGUGAGAAGACAGUUUUACACCCCAGUAAGGUGUUAGGAAAAGCUUCAUGCGCAUGGUCAAGGCUGUUCAGAGGGAUAGAAGGGGCCUGCUGGCUGCUGAGUCACUUGCUAGACUGUGCAGUUUUGCACCUUGGAUCUGGGCCUUUGCAAUCCUCCGCAAACUCACGUCCCACCCCCCCAGGUCAGCCAAUGUCCUCAGCGAGGCUGAGAGCCAGAGGAAAGGGGCCAAAGGAGCUGCGCAGAGAAGCGAAGCGUGGCCUCCUAACAGGGCUCAGCGUCUUCUGGCCCAUCCCGGUCCCAGCAGGGUGAGGGUGGCAGGAGCCAGCUUCGAGGGCUCCUCCUAGUGGCCAAUGUGGGAAUUGGCGCUCAGAGACAGUAUAGUCACAUUCAUCCCAGGAUGCCGCACUGCCCACUGCCACCGCACCAAUCAGAAUGCAAGAUUUAAAAGACAGUCCCAAGGCCUUGUAUUCUGCAUGUCUAACUGCCACGAAAGUUCCAACCCCAGGUGCCAGUGUGGCGGCAUCUUUGAGGAAGUUCCCAGGGUUUCUGUUGGCAUCAAACGUCUGCCUUCAUUUGCAUCCAUCCUCAUUUAUAAUGGAAUUCAUAACAUUAAAUAUUCACUCCCCCAUCAUAAAAGUUAACAUGGACGCUAUAGAGAUGGCUCGGUGGUUAAAAGUACUUACUUGCAGAGGCCCCUCCUAGCUGCCUUUCCAGAACCCAUGGGGCACCUCACAACCUUUUGUGCCUCUAGGUCCAGGGGAUACACAUACACCACAAACACACACACAAACACAGCGUCCUCUAAUAAUUAAAUCAAAGUAAAUAAAAGUUAACAAGGAGAAAUGAGUGCAAUUUGGCUGUUAACUAGGUUCAUAUUAAACGCACCGGAAGCUUUGCCCAAGAGGACGGCUUGCUCCAUCUAAGAUCUUAUCAUCAUCACCAUCACCGUCACCACCACCACCACAUCAAUUCCUGCCUUCGUGUCCUCCUGUCCUUCCAGAGUCAUAAAACAAAACAAAACAAAAACAAACAAACAAACAAACCCAGUGCACACCACCAGCAACAGUAGCUAGAAUUUUUGUUAUUUUUUUUCCACUCCACUACAGCCAACUUGGGCCCAAUCACCCUGUUUUCUGGAAGUGAGCAGGAAUCUUUGCACAACUCUUUCUUGCCCAUUCCGGCUCCUGCGCCAUCCGUGGGGGUGAUCACGCACAAACAUACCUUGCCCUGGAUCCCUCCCCUCUUUAAACAUUUACAGUGUCCUGAGCGUUUAUGAAGCUCAGAAGACUCCCGCCACAAGAACUUUAUUACUGUGUUCCCACAUCCCCAGCCUCAUCUCAUCCCUCCCUUCCUCCUUCCUGGCUCUGGGCCUUUGCAAGUCCCGCUGCGGUUGACUAUGGUUGCCGUGACCUGGAGGGAGGGUGGGUCUGCAGCUCCAGACUUGUUGUGUGAGUUCUGGACCUUCCUCAACCUACAUUCUCUGUCUCGUAACCUCCUCCUAGCAUGUCAGCUUGAAGCAGCCAGUGUGUCCAGUUACCUGUAGAUAACCUAUUUAUGCUUCUCCUGCCCCAUCGUGGAGAUGCCUGCUGGCUGCGUUCCUUAUAGCACACCCCAAUCCUUGAGCAGGUUCAAACAAACAGAGAAGAGGCAGCGGGUAGAGAUUUGGUAGCAUUCUGAAAGGGCCUGUGAGGAGAACUUGAUGAGUGUCUCACAGUGAGCUCACCAGGUACAGGGGCUGGCCUUUCAGCCUUAUGACAUGAAUUCAACCCCCAAGACCCCCAUGGUGGGGGGAGAGGAGCAACUCCUGUCCUUUGACCUUCACGAGAUCACUGUAGAACACCCUUCCUCCAUACACACACACACACACACACACACACACACACACACACACACACAUAUAUAUGGUUUUUGUUUUGUCUUGUCUUUUUGUUUGUUUGUUUUGUUUUUUCAAAACAGGGUUUCUCUGUGAAGCCUGUCUAUCCUGGACUCACUUUUUAGACCUGGCUGGCCUCAAACUCUCAGUGAUUCGCCUGCCUCUGCUUCCCUGCUGGGAUUAAAGGGGUGCACCACCAUGCCUGGCUUCAUACAUGCAUGUUUAAGGAAGAGAAUGUCAUUAAUGGUCAGUGAAAAGAAUUCUACGCCUACAGCAGGAUUUUUGCAAAGUGAAACAAAUAGUCUGAGAAUCGCAAAUAAUUUAGUCGGGCAUGUUGGCAAAUACUUCAGCGUUUGGAAAGCGGAGGCAGGAGGGCUUCAGAGUGAGUUUAAGUGUAGCCUUGCACUAUAUGAAACCAUGUCAAAAAAAAAAAAAAAAAGAAAGAAAGAAAGAAAGAAAGAAAGAAAAAGAAAAAAAAAGAGAAAAGAGACCAAUGAGGUGUCUCAGUGAAUAAAGAUGUUUUCUUGGGACUCACUUAGCAGAAAGACAGAUCCUCCUCUCUUUAGUCAUCUCUGAGCUCCACACUGCCACGUUUGUCCACACACACAUACACAUGCACACACAAUAAAUACAUGAAAAGGUGGGGAACAGCAGAUGUUCGACCCUUUGUGGAUAAGGCAAAUCAAAGGGCCCUGGCCCAACCCGCUCCUAGGCUACCCUCCUUACAGGCAAGUGGGAGCGUCAUACUUGUUCUGUUCUCUGAAGUUGGAGGUGACUGUGAGGGGUGAGGAAAAGCAGGCUGGGCCAGCCCUUUCUUUAUGGAAACAAGGAUGGGUAUUGAGUCACCCUGGUGAGGAGGGCCCCCUGCUGUCCAAAGAGGGACAUGCACUGUAAGAGAGCUAGAACAAGCUAUUGGAACCAAUCUUGGGGGCGUUUUGUCACAGGACAGCAUAUCUGAUCAGGUGGGACAGACUUCCCAAAGCAUCUCAGGUUUCCCUAAGACCAUCAUUGCUUUUAUCAUAUCUGAAAACCACCUCUGAUGUUACCUACAUACAUUUUUUUUCUUGCACUUCUUUUUUACUUAGAUGUAUUGUAUAGCCUUGUAAAAACCUUUUUGACCUAGGGUCUCAGGCUCAAACUUGCUGUGUAGCUGAGAAUGACCAUGAACUUCUGAUUCUCCUGUUUUCACCUCCCUAGUGCUGGAACUACAGGAAUGUGCCAUUAGGCCAGUUUUUGUGGGGUGCUGGAGAUGGAGUGCUGGAGCAUGCUAGCCAAACACCCCACUGACAUUUCCAGCUCCUAGAUUCAUUUUUUUAAGUUAUUCCAAUCAAGAGAAAUAUACUUUUCUAAACAGAAAGCAAUGAAAAACAAUCAGGAAAAAGAAGAGGGUCUCAGGUGGUGGUGGCGCAUGCCUUUAAUCCCAGCACUCGGGAGGUCGAUCUCUGAGUUCUGAGUUAAAGGCCAGCCUGGUCUGGUCUCCAGAGAAACUCUGUCUCAAAAAAAAAAAAAAAAAAAGGAUCCCUAUCAUCCUGCAAAAUCAAAACCCAGUGGAGAUGCUUAGACAGUGAGGAGCCAGUUCCCUGCCAAGGCUGAAUAAGCAAAUUCUGGGCCUUGACUUCCUGGGUUUGCAUGCAUAUGCUCUACUACUGCCCAGCACCCCCAGCCCUAAGGGCUGUGGUGGGGAUUGUUGGCGUUCAUGUAGAUAAAGGGCUAAAGCCGUAUCUGGCACACUGUGAGUGCUGCAAAGAUGCUAGCUGCAAAACAAAGACUGUAUAACGAUCCAAACACCAUCUAGCCACAGUGGCACACACUUGUGAUCCCAGCACCAGGGUAGCUGUGGCAAGAGGGUCAGGAGUUCAAAGCCAGCCUGAGCCAUAAGGGGAGGCAGGCAUGGGCUACAUGAGACCGACUUAAAACAAGGAAACAAAACACAGCAACGACCCAAAUGUCUUUGAAUAAGGGUAUAAAUCCCAGGCCAGGCACGGUGGUGCAAGCCUUUAAUCCCAGCUCUCAGGAGGCAGGGGCAGGUGGAUCUCUGUGAGAUCGAGGCCAGUCUGCUCAAUAAAUAAAUAAAUAAAAGAGCAUGAACCCCAUAGUGGUGGUGGGGGGAUCUCUCCACAGGUUAAAAAUAAAUAAAUCCCAAGGAUGCCGUGGAUGGGGAGGCUACAUGCCCUCUGUCGGUGGCAGGUGAUGUAGCAGAGCCUUUGAUUUUUGUUGGUGACAGCUACUCCAACUCUGUCAUGUCAUGCGUCAUUCUUGAGGACAUAGCGUUCAGGCUGGAAGAGCCAAUGUCCUCUGCACAGUGUCCUCAAAUGACCACAUAGGGACACUGGCAUUGGGCUUUCAUUUUAGGAAGAACAUUUAGGACAGGACAGGCCACAACAGCUGCCCCCUCUGGAGAAUGGCUGAAGCCGAGGCGGGGACUGGGCUGGUUGCUAUCAGCAGCAGAGAGGCAGUUCAGCUAAGUGCUCGGGGCUGUGGCCUUUGAACUGUCUGAUCCCGGGCAGGUCACAAGCUCUUUAGAUCUUAUUUGCUUCACCUACAAGAUAGGACUCCACAGUAGGGCCUCUUUAUGUAGUGUUUGGUGGAGCCAAUGUGAUAAGCCUUAGACACCUGGCAUGCAGGUGGCCAGAAAGCAGCUAUGUUUUGGGUUCAAAACGGGGCUGAGGCUGUAGCUCAUUAGGUAGCUCACGCAGCAUGUGAAAAAUCCUGCAACUCAUUCCAGUGCUGCAAAACAAGGUAUUUCCUGGGAAAUAAGAAUUCACUGUUAGCUGGGUGGUCGUGGUGCACUCCUUUAAUCCCAGCACUCGGGAGACAGGGGCAGGUGGCUGUCCGGGUUCCAGGCCAGCCUGGUCUACAGGGUGAGUUCCAGGGCAGCCAGGGCUACACAAAAUAGACAAAUAAAAAGAAACUUGAUGGUUCCUAUGAUCCCAGAAAGCAAGCCAGAAUCGAUAGAUGGGAGAAAAACUUGGAGCCAGAAUAAAAGACUUUAUUAGGCGAUGUGAUUGUCCUAUCAGGGACAGUACUGACGAAUCCAGAUGUCAGCGUUUUUCACUGGGGUUCUCAGGCAUGAGCCCGGGAACCACGACGUUAAGGAAGAUGGGCUGUGGAUACCAGAAGCUGGGCAAAGCAGACUUGCCCAGGGGGGCAAAUGUCUUAAAUGAAACACAAUCAAACUCAAGCACAGUGGGGAAACUGAGUCCCCACCUGUAAAAGAAUGAGGUUGACAAGCUAGAUGUGGUAGUGCUAGCACUUGGAAGGCAGAAGCUGAAGGAUCAGAGGUUCAAGAUCAUUCAGGAACACAGGAAGUUCUCUAGCUGAGUCAAGAGAGCUUCGUAGGACAUGUGGACUCUGCAGCUUCAGACCAGGAGGCACUAAAAAUGACCAGUCCCAGUAAAGAUUACCCCAGUCUGUAUUCAGUCCCUCCAGAAGGCCCAUGAAAGAUCCCAGGGCAGGGCAGCAUGAGAAUGCUCUUCCCUCUCAGAGUUCCUCUCACUGUUCUUAAUAAAUGUAGGUUCAUUCUAUUCUCUCCUGGCCUGUAUGUCUUAUCCUUCUGAGACAAUGAACCCAGAUGUCACUGGCUCAAGGCAGCUUUGACAACCAUGAUCAGCCAGCAUCCUAGGUCCCUGGGCUAAGAUAACCAAGAGCCAAUUUUCCAUUGCUUUCAAAGCACCCACAUCAAAAGGAUACUAUCAUCAGAGUGGAAAUCAGUCAAUGGACUGGGAGGAAAAUACUUGUAAAUACAUAGAGCCCAGCGUCAGAAGACAAACAGCUUUACAUGAGCACCUGAACAGACACUUCUUCAAAGAAAUGAUCGAAUGACUGCUGUGACCAUGGGAAGACUAGCAUUACCCACCAGGCACUAGAGAAAAACAAAACCCACCAACAGUAAGAAAGCCAGGCAUAGAGGUGCAUGCCUACAACCCCAGAACUCAGAGGCAGGAGGAUCUAAAGUUCAAUACCAGCCUGGGCUACAGAGCAAUAUCCUGCCUCAAAACCCAACCUAAGCAUAGCAGGUGCACGCCUUUAACCCCAGCAAUCAGGAGGCAGAGGCAGGCUGAUCUCUGUGAGUUUGAGGCCAGCCUGCUCUAUAUAGUGAGUUCCAGGCCAGCCAGAGCUACACAGCAAAACCCUGCCUCAACAAACAAACAAACAAUCAAAACAAAAACCCAAGAGCACAGCUUCCAUCGCCCAAUAUUAAAACAGCUAAACAGAAGCCACGUAUGGUAUUUUCUGUCUGCAGUCCCAUCACCUGGGAAGACUGGGCAAGAUGAUUGUCUUGAGUUCAAGGCCAGUCUUGGCUCCAUAGUGAGUUCCAGGCCAGCCUGUGCUAGAGAAAGUUUGUGAGGGUGUAGAGACAUGGAAAUGCUUGUCCACUAACUGCUUAGAAUGUAACACAGUGUAGCCUCUGUGGGAAGUGGUAUGAUGUUUCUCAGACACGUCCAUAAUAUAAUUUGGUCAUAUUCACUCUCUCUCCAUUACCCUUCCUGCUCCACUCUUCUUCCCAUUAAUAAAUAAACCUUCCUUUCUACUUUCA